UCACCCUGCCCCCACACCACCCUCAGCCUUUCUGUUUCCAGCACUUCCUGGUCAUGACCCUGAGCCCCUCCUGCCUGUCCACCAGGGUCUCUGGGCCCGGGGGUGGUCACUGGGAAGGGCACCCACACCCUGUCCUUCCAGGUCUUCUGCCUCUGAGUGAGUGGUCUGAGUGGUCGCCCUGUGGGCCCUGCCUGCCGCCCAGCGCCCUGGCCCCUGCCUCCAGGACUGCCCUAGAGGAGCGCUGGCUCCGAGACCCAACUGGCCUCUCCCCCACCUCGGCCCCACUGCUGGCUUCAGAGCAGCACCGCCACCGGCUCUGUCUGGAUCCUGUGACAAGGAGGCCCUGGACUGGAGCGCCUCACCUCUGCACCGCACCCCUCAGCCAGCAGCGCCUCUGCCCUGACCCUGGAGCCUGCCCUGGUAAUGGGGAGAGGCAGAGGCCACGGGACAGGAUGGGCCUGGAGUGCAGGUUGGGGGGACCUGGCCGGGAGGGGCUAGGCUAUAGAGCGCAUUGACCUGCUACCCCUCCUGCUUGUCUCUAAGGCCUGCAGGAUUUGAAGCUGGGGGUAGGGUCCAGGCAACAGCUAGAAAGAGAAGCGGGAGAGCCUAGAGGGCUUUAAGGCCUGCCGGAGCAUUUGCGACGACAGAGCUCAAGGCUUGAGGGGGAGGCAAGAGGCGGGCCUGGGUACUGACUCCAUCGUACCUUCCCCAGACUCAUGCCAGUGGAGUCUGUGGGGGCCAUGGAGCCCCUGCCAGGUGCCCUGCAGUGGGGGGUUCAGGCUACGCUGGAGAGAGGCAGAGGCCCUCCGUGGAGGAGGCUGCCAGGGGCCAUGGGCUCAGACAGAAAGCUGCAACAGAGGGCCCUGCCCAGGUGAGAGCUGCGAGGCCCAAGACACUGUAUUCACCCUGGACUGUGCCAACCAGUGCCCACGCAGCUGUGCCGACCUCUGGGACCGCGUUCAGUGCCUGCAGGGACCCUGCCGCCCAGGCUGCCGCUGUCCCCCUGGCCAGCUGGUCCAGGAUGGGCGCUGUGUGCCGAUCUCCUCUUGCCGCUGUGGCCUCCCCAGUGCCAAUGCCUCUUGGGAGCUGGCCCCGGCCCAGGCAGUGCAGCUGGACUGCCAAAACUGCACCUGUGUCAACGGGUCCCUGGUGUGCCCACACCAGGAGUGUCCAGUCCUUGGGCCUUGGUCAGCCUGGAGCAGUUGCUCGGCCCCCUGUGGUGGGGGCCCUAUGGAGCGACAUCGGACCUGCGAGGGGGGUCCUGGGGUGGCACCAUGCCAGGCCCAGGACACAGAGCAACGGCAGGAGUGUAACCUGCAGCCCUGCCCUGAGUGCCCCCCUGGCCAGGUGCUUAGCACCUGUGCCACCUCAUGCCCGCGCCUCUGCUGGCAUCUGCAGCCUGGUGCCAUCUGUGUGCAGGAGCCCUGCCAGCCUGGCUGUGGCUGCUCUGGAGGGCAGGUGGGUACGGGGUGCUGUGUCCUGACUCCCUGUGGGGGAAGCCGGCAGGUGGGGAGGGAAGAGGCGGUGGUCUGAGUGUCACUGAGCCUGCCCUGCUGCAGCUGCUGCACAAUGGCACGUGUGUGCCUCCCACUGCCUGCCCCUGCACCCAGCAUUCUCUGCCCUGGGGCCUCACCCUGACCCUGGAAGAGCAGGCCCAGGAGCUACCCCCAGGGACUGUGCUCACCCGGAACUGCACCCGCUGGUGAGGGCCUGGCCCUGGGGUGGGGAGCAGGGAUGAGGAAGGGUAGGGAGGAGGACAUGGGAGGCAUCUGAGUGUGCUUCUGUCUUCCCAGUGUCUGCCACGGUGGAGCCUUCAGCUACUCCCUCAUUGACUGUCAGGGUGAGAUGUGGCUGUCCAUGCCCUGCUGCACCUCCAAAGUCAAGGCCUGGGACUGGCACUGAGGAGGAGAGACGGGCCCUGCUCACAGACUAGACAGAGCUUCAGGAAGCCCUCCCCUGUCUGUCCACACUGACCUCUCUCUAACUGGAGACCCAGCACCCCCUGCCGAGGGCUCCCUGGGCACUCAGUGUGGUCUGCCCCACUUGUGGGGGCAUUCCCUAGCACACAGUAUACACAGAGCCAGGGCUGUGAUGCCAGGAAGUGGAAGGUUCUUUCCCUGCCAGUGAGGAAACUGAGGUCUGGAGGGGUGAGCGGAAAUGAGGGGCCUGGCCUGGCAGCCCCCGGGCUGGUAGCAUUUGCCCUGUGGGGUGCAGUGUUACCCCCAUGUGAUCAGGACCAAGGGCCCACCCACCGUGUUCCCAGCUCUGCCACGCUGGGCUCUGUGAAUGCAGACAUGCAGCAUGGCCAGCCUCCGGGCAGACCACCCCCCCAGAACAGGCAGAGACAGGGCACAGUCUCUAGGUCUCUGACAGGCAGGUAGAACCCCAGAGGGUGAGACAUCAGUGCUGAGAAUAGAGAGGCCGAGUGGACAGGAUUGGUCAGGGAGGCUUUUCUGAAGGAGGUGAGACCUGGCCUGGGUCCAGCUAGUGUUUGGGUGGGUGGAUAAGAAAGAUCAGGAGGUGUGGUUGGAGGCUGCUGCGGCUGAGAAGGCAAGACGGGGACAUGUGGGUGCUCAGCUUGGGAGGGGAGGAAUCGAGGCUGGAUCCAGGGCUGACCUGAAAGCUGGGUUGGAUGGUCUUCCCUGGCAGAGUGCCCCCCUGGGGAAAUGUGGCAGCAGGUGGCCCCGGGGAGCUGGGGCUCUGCGAGCAGACGUGCCUGGAGAUGAAUGCCACAGAGACCCAGAGUAACUGCAGUUCAGCUCGAGCCUCGGGCUGCGUGUGCCAGCCCGGGCACUUCCGCAGCCAGGCAGGCCCCUGCGUCCCCGAAGACCACUGCGAGUGCUGGCACCUCGGGCAUCCCCACCUGCCUGGAUCUGAAUGGCAGGAGGCCUGUGAGAGCUGCCUCUGCCUCAGUGGGAGGCCUGUCUGCACCCAGCACUGCUCCCCACUCACCUGUGCUCAGGGCGAGGAGAUGGUGCUGGAGCCAGGGAGCUGCUGUCCCUCUUGCCGCAGGGAGGCUCCGGAGGAGCAGUCGCCCUCCUGCCAGCUCCUCACGGAGCUUCGAAACUUCACCAAAGGGACCUGUUACCUGGACCAGGUAGAAGUGAGCUACUGCAGUGGGUACUGCCCAUCCAGCACCCAUGUCAUGCCAGAGGAGCCAUACCUGCAGAGCCAGUGUGACUGCUGCAGCUACCGUCUAGACCCGGAGAGCCCUGUGCGGAUCCUGAACCUGCGCUGUCUGGGUGGCCACACAGAGCCCGUGGUGCUGCCGGUCAUCCACAGCUGCCAGUGCAGCUCCUGCCAGGGAGGUGACUUCUCAAAGCGCUAACAGGCUCCGCUGGGUGAGUCCACAGCUGUCCCUCUUGUGAUCAUGGGACUCAGCAGCACUGACCACGUCCUUCCACGCUCUCUCACCUGCCCCCAACUGGGGGCCCAUGACUUGGCAUUAGCAUGUUCCAAAUAAAGUGAUACUGGCAAC
RNAcentral lists this small RNA (3478 nucleotides) under Pan troglodytes (chimpanzee). Its description in RNAcentral is "retained intron". Lineage: Eukaryota; Metazoa; Chordata; Mammalia; Primates; Hominidae. The record is from RNAcentral.